RNAcentral lists this ribosomal RNA (253 nucleotides) under uncultured bacterium. Its description in RNAcentral is "partial 16S ribosomal RNA". It matches the Rfam family "Bacterial small subunit ribosomal RNA", at positions 524 to 776 of the family's 1533-position model. The record is from RNAcentral.
UACAGAGGGUGCGAGCGUUGUCCGGAAUCACUGGGCGUAAAGGGCGCGUAGGUGGCGGCAUAAGGCCGCGGUGAAAGUUCGGGGCUCAACCCUGAAUCGGCCGCGGCGACUGUGUCGCUUGGGCACCGUAGAGGCAGAUGGAAUUCCGGGUGUAGCGGUGGAAUGCGUAGAGAUCCGGAAGAACACCAGUGGCGAAGGCGGAUCUCUGGGCCGAUACUGACGCUGAGGAGCGAAAGCGUGGGGAGCGAACAGG